AACGAACGCUGGCGGCAGGCCUAACACAUGCAAGUCGAGCGAGGACUUCGGUUCUAGCGGCGGACGGGUGAGUAACGCGUGGGAAUGUGCCCUUCUCUACGGAAUAGCCCUGGGAAACUGGGAGUAAUACCGUAUACGCCCUUUUGGGGAAAGAUUUAUCGGAGAAGGAUCAGCCCGCGUUGGAUUAGGUAGUUGGUGGGGUAAUGGCCUACCAAGCCGACGAUCCAUAGCUGGUUUGAGAGGAUGAUCAGCCACACUGGGACUGAGACACGGCCCAGACUCCUACGGGAGGCAGCAGUGGGGAAUCUUAGACAAUGGGGGCGACCCUGAUCUAGCCAUGCCGCGUGAGUGAUGAAGGCCUUAGGGUUGUAAAGCUCUUUCAGCUGGGAAGAUAAUGACGGUACCAGCAGAAGAAGCCCCGGCUAACUCCGUG
Molecule: ribosomal RNA, 433 nt
Filed under: uncultured bacterium
Lineage: Bacteria
Description: partial 16S ribosomal RNA
Rfam family: Bacterial small subunit ribosomal RNA
Source: RNAcentral